AUUGAACGCUGGCGGCAUGCUUUACACAUGCAAGUCGAACGGUAACAGGUUAAGCUGACGAGUGGCGAACGGGUGAGUAAUGCAUCGGAACGUGCCCGAUCGUGGGGGAUAACGCAGAGAAAGCUGCGCUAAUACCGCAUACGAUCUGAGGAUGAAAGCGGGGGACCGUAAGGCCUCGCGCGAUCGGAGCGGCCGAUGUCAGAUUAGGUAGUUGGUGGGGUAAAGGCCUACCAAGCCGACGAUCUGUAGCUGGUCUGAGAGGACGACCAGCCACACUGGGACUGAGACACGGCCCAGACUCCUACGGGAGGCAGCAGUGGGGAAUUUUGGACAAUGGGCGCAAGCCUGAUCCAGCAAUGCCGCGUGCAGGAUGAAGGCCUUCGGGUUGUAAACUGCUUUUGUACGGAGCGAAAAGGCUCUCUCUAAUACAGGGGGCUCAUGACGGUACCGUAAGAAUAAGCACCGGCUAACUACGUGCCAGCAGCCGCCGUAA
RNAcentral lists this ribosomal RNA (493 nucleotides) under uncultured bacterium. Its description in RNAcentral is "partial 16S ribosomal RNA". It matches the Rfam family "Bacterial small subunit ribosomal RNA", at positions 30 to 523 of the family's 1533-position model. The record is from RNAcentral.